Long non-coding RNA from Centrocercus urophasianus (Greater sage-grouse), 8967 nucleotides. RefSeq lists it as uncharacterized. The transcript is spliced from 3 exons. The record is from RefSeq and is a predicted model, not a curated record. NCBI's taxonomy places the organism in Eukaryota, Metazoa, Chordata, Aves, Galliformes, Phasianidae.
UUUUUUUUUCCUUCAGUGGAGGAAACUGAAAGUUACAGCUGUGGGGCAGUGUGCUCCGUGCUAAUGACUGUGCUAAUGAGUUGAUCAGACCUUCAGCUAACCUGUCUUGUUCACAGAGGCAGAGGAUCCCACACGUUUUGAAUGGAGACGGGGCUGCUGGUGCCAGCUUUGCAGUGCCAGACUCUCUUUGGGCCAGCUCAGCUACCUGCACCUCCUGCUGAAGAUCUUUUGCUCUGUCGAGGAGAGUAACAGUGACAUCCUGUGGCUCUAGAGAAGAAUUACUGCUCUGGGUGCCAACGAGAAGGGCUCCUGAAGCACAGCCGUGUGUUAAGGGCAGGUCAGCAAGACUUCCCUUCAGAGAGGCUUUCUGCAGAAGGUAGUGAUGGAAGGGCUUGGCUACUUCUUCAGCGCUGAUACUGUCCGCUGUCAUCCAUUACUGCUGGCUUGUCAGGUGAGGCAGCAUCCAUAUCUGCAAAAUGGACAUGAGGAAAUUGCCAGCUCUAUCAUCCAUCCCAUCCCACUUGUUUUGCUUUGCUGAUCGUGGAAGAAAGGCCUCAAUUUCCAGUAGCCUGGGGAAGUUAUUUGCCUGUCAUGCAGCCCUCCUUUUGUAAAAGGUGCUUAAGGAAGGAAUGUAGAGCAUGUAGAGUGAUAAACAGGUAAGAGAAAUCUGGACAUCUCCCUUUGGAUAGCAGCUGUUCCCUGGCUAAAACCCAGGGAGCAACUGUCUGUGUGCAGUCUGUCCUAGCAGGGCUUGCUCCUGCUAGCUAUGCAGUAGCACAGUGGUGCUAGCACAGCUAAGAUCCUAUUUGAUUUGUGAUAUCCACAGAUUGUUCCUUUUUUUUUCCUUGCUCCUCCAAAAGCAAAGAAAGCAAACCCUGAGCUGUGGCUGCCAAGGCUUUGUGGGCAAGUCAGAGCAGGAAGAGGGGACAGGAAGCAGCAGUAAAGUAAACAUUUCCUUUCAUUUUGCUGAAGUGCUGCACCCUGGUUGUGCGUUGAUGCAUAAUGCCAUUCUUCCUCUCAUUAUAAAGCAGGGCUGAGUGCUGGUGCUUUCUUACCUGUUGAGGGCUUGGGGUACAUCCUGUGGAAAAACAAGAGGAAAGCAUAGAAGGUAAAGGCCAAGCCUCCAAAGAUCAUCCCGCAGACUAGGAAACUGUAGCUGCCCUGAUCGUGUAUAAUCUGCAAUUGGAGAGAAAAGAAAAAGCAGCAGAGGUGUCAUCACAGCAUUUCAAUACCUAAUUGGCAUUCGGUGAGAGCUUUACUUUUUGAUAGCUCAAGCUCUUGGAGCAGCUGUCCAAAACCUGGACUAAGAUUUCUAGUGAAGUUCAGGCAGGUUUUGGCACUCCUCAUCUUCUCCCUUUGCCCACACUUACCGAUCCCACCAGCAGCUGUAGUACCAUCUCUCCAAUUCCAGCUCCUGUCACUAACACAGUUGUGGCACAGCCUGAAAAGAAACAGCACAAGUGAUAGUGACAGCCAGCAGGACCAGCCUGUAGCCACUUCAGAUUGCAGAGAAAUGCUCAGUGGAAGUUUCCAUCCAAUGGUGAGACUGACUCGUGGGAGUAAGAGAAUGAAAACAUUAAUACAAAAAACAUCUGUUCUGUCACUUGUCCCCAUCAGCAGAAGUGCUGUUGCUUCUUACUGAAAAGAUUUUCAUUCUUCUGUAUCACUGAGGUUGGCAGUGACCUCCUAUAGGGGCUGGCCAAGGGAUUUUCUGUUUGCUGAUAACCUGGGUGAUGCUUUCAGAACUGACAUUCUUGUCUGAGAGCCCUGAAGCUGCAGGAAACUAAGAAGCAGUCUGGAUCCCUGCCUGUGGAAGUUAUUAGUGCAGCAAAUCCGGGAUUUGUGCAGUCAGCUUUUCCAACUACAAGCUCAAAUGAAGAUGGUAUUCAAAAACAGACCUUUCUUCUAAUCCUCCUAAGCAUCCCUAAAGCAGGAGGGGGGACCUGCUGGCUGUCAUUGUACCUGAGCUCUAGGCUUGAACACCUGCCUGCUUUCAGAUUGUGCCAAGUGUGCCCACAUCCCCACUCACCUUUGUACUGCAGGAUGUCCUCAGUGUAAGCCAGCAUGCUGGGGAAAGUGCUGCUGAGAAACAGACCCAGAGAUGCUGUCCCCACAAACAAGAAGACAACGCUGGAGGAGAAGAUCAGGAGCAGGAGGAAGGUUAUCAGGACUCCAAUCUGUAAGCAACAAGCACAGAGUCAGCAGGAGGGCAAAUGCUGAAUUAAAAUGAAUAUUAUGGAGGCAGCAGUCUGAAUCGUUAACAAGUCUUACUCAUCAGGCUGAAGAGUUCAGUUGCUCCAUAACUUCUCACACCCCACCUCUCACAAGAAGAGUAAAGCCAAAGUGCCAAAGGCAUUAAACCAAACCUGCCCUCACUUCAGUCGUGCUGCAGUAUGCAAUAAUAGCAAGAACAUCUCAGCUGUGCUGGUAACCGUGGCACAGGGAGGCAGCAGAGGGAGCUCUUCUAUACCAACUUAAGGUAUCUUAAAUAUUCAAGCCCUGGUGAUGGGCAUUUGCAUAUACACAGGAGCAAUUUGGAUUUGCUGUAAUGAUGGAAUGACUGCCACGAGCUGCUCUGUCUGACUACAUGCAGCAGUACCAACAAGCAAGCACUGCAUGAAAUGUGUGUUUUUGGCCUUGGGUGAUGUUAUUGCCUUUGAAAGGAAGUGAGGAGGCUUCCAUUAAGAGUUGGAGGCUCCUCCCUUCUCUCUCCAAAUAUGAGCAGCUGCUAAAAUGCCUUGUCCUCAGGUUUUAGAGAGCAGUCAAACAGCUCAGAAAGUGAUAAAGCCUGUCGAGGUGAAGCUUAUGCCACAUACCUGAUCUAGAGCUGAUGGGGCUGAGCCUUCCCUGCUCCCAUGUCACUACACUAGUGACUGCAUUCUGAAACAGGAGGUUAUUGUACUCAUCUUAAAAAUAAGGGCAAAGCACUUCACUGUAGCUGUUGGUAUAUAGAUUUAGUUGACGAGGUGACCAGCAAUAAGGUGCCAAGCAGGCUUCCUCAUCUGUCAGCAACAGAUAUUAGCAUAGGACUAAUAUCAGAAGGUCCCACUGUGCAUUGUCACCACCCUGUUUUGUUUAUUAACAGUAAAACCUGCCAUCAUAACUUCUGGUUUAAAUAAAUUGUAGAUUAACUGCCAUCUCUUCAUGAUGGGGAAGUGGGACCAGUUCCCUCCCUGCUGUCUGUCAUAUCCUUCUGUGCAUCUCUCAUAUAUCCUCUCAGGCUUCCAUUUCCUUCCUUCAGGUGAAUACAUUUUAUUAAUUUAAGCAAGCAAAUAUAACAUUGAUUUGUUUGACAACCAGUAAUGUCUAAGCAGAGAACUUUCAAGCUAGCUGCCUUCCUUUCCCCAAGGCUGACACAGACAUUGAUUUCCCUGUGGAUGCCAGAGAAGAUGAUGUGAAAAUAAAUGAAGUUGGCAGAUGGUUUACUAGUUGCUUUCAGAAACCUCAAGCUCAGAAAAGCAGUGCAACCACACUGCAGGUGUUAGCUACCUCCUGCAUGACAGUUACAUAGGGAUGGUGGUGCAGCUCACCCCAAUGGUGUGCUUGUCACAGUGCCUGCUGCAAAGCUACCCCAGGUAUGGCAUCAAAACAGGACAGCAAGCAGGAGGAAGGUAGGAACAGCCUUACCACAUUGAUGAAGACCAUGGUCGCUGGCUUCAUUCGGUAGGACACGGGGAUGGAGAUGAGCCUGCCCAGUGUGAUGAAUCCCCAGAAGAGGCUGGGCAGGUAACCAGCCACCUUGUGCACUACAGAGAGAGGCUCUUCCACGGCGUAGCUGUAAAUGAAGCCCGAGUAUUCACCCUGUGGGGAAGGCAGAGCAGCACAUCACGGUGAUGCGAUGAUCUCCAGGCCUUUGCAACGUUAACUUCAACCUGUCCUUCAAUUCUGACAAUACAGCAUUGCAGGAGAGUCUGCCUACGGAUUUGCUACUGGUCCUCAGUGAACCUUAUUCCCAAGAGUUUGCAGCUGGAGUCAGAAGUAGAACACAGGACUGAGACACUCCUAAAAGGGCACCGCUGAGCAGCUGCACUAGGUAGGAUGCGUGCUAAGCUCUUACCCUUAGAGAUGCUCUCUUCCCCUAGGACUGUCUUGGAAUUGCAUACUCUGAGCCCAUCUCACAGUGAGAACUCAGAGUAAAUCAUCCUUGAAGAUGGAAGCCCUGGAGAGGUUCUGUCUCUGACAGCUGCUCGGUGUAACCCCACUCAUCUUCCUGGAUCCUGUUUAAGGCCUUAGUGAGACUCAGCAGUAUUUUACCAGGAGUAGACUGAGACAAACCUGCUUGAAGGAGCAGCAGCCAAAUGAGCCCUCCUCAUCUGGAGGAGAACUAUGAGCCCCCUGUGACUGCCCUGCUGGGGGAUGUGCUGUCAGACCACUACAGAGAGACUGCAUGCAUGCUUUCCUCUUGGAUACUGUGGACCCGUCAAGCAAAGAACCUCUGUUUCUUAUGACAUGAAGCUGUUUUUACACCCUGGCUAAAGCGAGAAGAGAAUUCCACUGCCUGCAAGGACACCGUCACAACUCCAGCUCUACCCUGGCUAGGAGAGCAGCAGUAACCAUCUAGCUGCAACAACACAGCGCCUAGCAGAAGGUACACAACCCUCCCAAGAAGCAGGGAACACAUCAGCCAGAGCCAUCAGCUUUUAAUGAGCUACCUUGGGAACCCCACUGCUGCACAGACCAUCAGGUCCAGCCCACUGCACACAGGGGACAAGUGGGUGUCUCUGGGCAUGGGCUGUUGCUAGUGAUGGGGAAGGAAGAAAGCCAGCUUUGCUCAGACAAGAUCCUUCUAUCGGCUGAACUCACCACAAUCCCAUCAGUCAUGAAGAGAACAAGAGCCCCAGUGAUGUGGACUGCGAAGUAGGUGUAAGAAGCCCCUCUGAAGUUUUUGCUUUGGCAGCAGCUAAAUAAGUCAUCAUGACCUGGUGAAAAACAAUGCAAAGCAAACUUAGCUGGAACGUCCCCCUGGGGCUGGGUAGUUGCCAGCCCACACUGGGGAUUUGUUUUGUGCUCAGCUGCAGGACAGACAUUCAUAGGGACUGUGAACAACGUGCAGUGCUGCUAACCUCUGCCAGCACAAUGUCUUUUAUUUUUUAUCUUUAAGCUACCUAAACCUUCACAAGGGAUACAGCUAUGCUCAUAGGCUGACUGCCCACAGACUGGGAUCCCAGCUCUCCAGGAUAUUUGCUCCUUAGCUCGCAAAAGCUGCUUUUGCUUCCCUUCCCAUUUAGGAGCUCCAAUUGCUGCUCCCGUUCUUAAAAGAAAUAAACCCAUUCAGCCACAGCACUCAUCCUCAGAGCUCCUCACACAUGGUACAAGCACACCAGAGUCCUGCCCAGGGCAGCUCACAUUUCUCAGCUAAAAGGUGCUGAACCAAACAAGCCAACUCUGGGAAAGAGGGUGAUAAACACACAGGCUGCUGUCACAUCCUCUGACAACCACUGAGAACACCAGUCUGUCCAAACCAGCUGGGACUCAGCACCCUGCUGUGCCCAGCUGUCCCAUCCUCAGGCUCACACCACGCUGGUGGCUGUUCCUGCACUGCCAACGAGGAAAUUCUCACCACUUCUAUAGGGAAAUGAGGGAUUUUGCCAGCACAGAAACAUCUGUCACAGAUCACAGUAGUCGGCCACGCAGCCAUCCUGCUUCUCUAAGCGUUGCUCUCAAACGUGUGUAAGAAAAGGGUGGAGAUGAGAAGAGCGUGGAUUGUAUGAAAAGGGGCAGCAGGGUUCAGGAAAGAAACACUUCAUGUCUCAGCUUAGGGGAGUGCUGGUAGACGAACACAACCUUAUUAGACACCAGAGAACCCACACCUUCAGGUGCAUUCCUUGCAGCACCUCAGCACUCCAGCUGCCUCCACUUCCUUCCAGCAUUCCCUAAAAUUGUAUUGUUGGGGUGAAGCUGCCACACCUGCAGCAGUGCUCUUCUCACAACUGAAGAUGUGACUGCUUCAGAGAUUCACUGUUCAGCUGGAGGAUUCGCUUGGAUAACGUUUCUCCUGGGCAGUACAGGACAGUGUGAAGUUGCCCACCAAGAGGGCUGUAGUCACCAGUUCAAACUAUUGCUGGUGUUUAACUUUGUCCCAAACAAGUGCACUGUCCUUACACCUCUCAGAUUCAUACCAGUCAGCAUUCUGCAGCAAUCAUUGCUUUCACAUGGAGCAGACAGAGGAGCCAGCUCUAAACCUGACUGAAAACCAGAAGAAAAUAGAGGGGCAGAACUUUCACUUGUGCCUACACGACCUGGUAGCGCGGGUUUAAUUUCAGGGCAGCUCACAGGAGAGCAGCCUGGAAUCCCUGCAGCCCCAUCAGAUCUGAGGUCAAUUGGGCACCAAACCGAUGGGAUCAUUCGGGCACUUUUGGAUUACAUUCACAUUUAUGUUUUGGAAAGUUUUCUCCUUAGACAAUAGCAAUUAAGCUCACUUGUUAACCACCAUGGAGACAGUCAGAAAGAAGGCUCUUUCUCGCUCGGCUCACCCCCUGUUCCCCAGAACCAUAAGCGAGGUGCCUGCAGCUCACCUCCUGCAGCGUGGGCUCUGUGCACAGAGGCAGACAGGUCAUCCUUCUCCACGGGACGUGCUUCCAUUGCCAGUUCAUCUGCUGACAGCAGUGGGUGGCUGCUGCUGCUGAAGCACGGCACCAUGCGCUCCUUGUAGAGCAGGAAGAACACGGCGAUGGGCACCGGCAGCUGAGGAGGAGCAGAGAGGGGCAGGUAAGGGCAAUGCAGAGCUCACACAAACUGCAGUUCCUCAUUCCCAAGGGCCUUUCGGGAAGCCCAACCCAUCCCUGCUAAGCACAUCCCUCAGUGCCACAUCUCUGCGUUCCUUGGACACCUCCAGGAGUCACCAUCCAACUCCAUCAAUGCACGUCUGCCUCUACCCAAGGAAUAAUAACAUAGGUUUUGCCCAUGGAGAGCAAAGAGGUAUAAACGAGAGUCCUUUGGCUGGAACUGUGAGGAACAAGCCAGCUGUUCCAAGACCUGCUUUGCCCAUCUCCAGCCAUUAGCAGGGGUUGCUCAGCAUCUCAUGAGAUGAGCUCCUGGUUCCCAGGCCAACGGCUGCAGCCAGACAGCUGCAAGCAGCCCCUGAACCCAGCCUAUGCUGCAGGACCUGGGAUGCAAGCACCCUCUAAUCCACAGCUGCAUGACAUCCACACCCCAUGGUCAGCACUGCAUGGGCUGUGCCAGCAUUCAGUGUCCCCAUGUAGGGACAAAACACAGGGCCAGUGAGCUCAGACCUGCCUUUGGGACACCCUGCAUGCACCCCGACUUGGUGGUGCCUGCAAACCCAGAGGGACUGCUCUUUUUUAGGGGAAUGAAAAUAGAGGGAAGUAAAUGAAAAGCUGGGUCUGCCCCUGAGCAGCCUCCUCCUCCCUGCAACUGAGCGGUGUUUACUCUGCAACAAAUGGGGAGAAAGCCAGGAAAUCCUAAGUGACAGCUCACUCUCCAGCCGCCCAGCUCUUGUUUUCUCCAUGUCUGUGAGCAAGUGUGAGCUUGGGCUCCAAUUUCCUGCUUUUUGUUGGCUUGUGGCAUUAUUUAAAUGUAUGGAGAAUUCCCCCCACACCCGCCUCUCUUGCCUGAAUUUCAUUUAUGAGGACUUCAUUGUUCUGGGAACAAUGGGAAUAGGAACAGUGAGUUCGGUCCCAUGGAAGAAAAAUGCAUUUGCUUGAUAGUUCUAAUCCUUCCGGAGGUCAGGACCAGAUUUUAUUCUUCUGAAUUGCAAAUUUUGCAAAAUAAAGAAACGUCACAACAACAACAAUAACAACAAAAAACGAACCAGAGGGACUGGCCAUAGAGAUAACAGCUCCAGGCACUUCAGGAGCACUCAGUACCUGCAUGGAGGGGAUCCUCAGUUCCCAAUGGAACUGUGCACGCAUCCCAUCUGCAAAGCAAGCUGCUCCCUUUCCCUAUAUCCAGAUGAUAUCUCAAAGCUGGCGGUGCCUUGAGUGCACGAGAGCCCAGACCCUACGGGACGUAGGUUGGUCACCGAUGGCUCUCUGCUCUGGCUCCCUCUGGCAGGAGAUUCCCAAAAGCUGUGACUCCAUGGCACAGCCUGACCAUAAACCCAGGCUGUGCACAGGGACAGGAUGUCCUGGGAAGCACUUUGCUCAUUACACGGGCAGGUGGAGAAGAGCAAACAGAGCUGAGUGCCAACACGCUGCCUGGGCACACAUCACUGGGACGGCCCACACUGCAGGCACAGCUGCCCCAUCCCAGCCCUUCCACUGCCAGCAAGUGCUCCAGCUCCAUGCACUGAGCCAAAGGGGACAUCGCCUCCACCCCUUGCAGGUCUUAACCAUCAGAAGCUCCAUGAUUUGUUGUGCAGCUCAGUGUGGGCGCACCUCCAGCAUCCCAGUUUCUCAUUUCAGAUCCCCAGCGUCGCUCCCUGUGAUGCUCCCAGCACCCAUCCCAGCACAGCGCUCCCCCAGGACAGACAACCAUCCGGACAAGCACGGCCCUACAGAGGAACGUUGCCCCAAUUUCCAGCCCCUUUGGAUGAGGACAUUUCCGUUCUGUGGGAAACUGAAUUUUAAAGUGUAGUUUUUGUUCCAAAUCUGGAUGAAAAGCCCCAAAUUUUCCUCCCAGCCAAAUUUUUUUCAUUCCGAGAGUCGUCCAAGCGCUUCAUCUGAUAACUACAGCAAAAACAUUUUGCUUCAAUAGCACCACAGCGGAGUCAGCUUCACACUCUGCACCGAUGCCAAAGUCAAAUUGAGACAUUUCGACUUGAAACAAAGCAAGGAAUGGAAAUGAAUCAUUGCAGCCAUCAGGAUACACACAACACUGUGAAAACGGGUGUGGAGCUGUGGUUUGGCCAUUCAAAAAAUAACAACAACACAGUUGCUGGUCCUGGUUUCCAUUCCUACAGCUCGCUCAUCCCAGCCACUUCCCUGGGGUGUCAGCACUGAAUGCUGUGUCCUCUCCAUGCUGCACACGCUCACAUUCAAAAUAGAUAUUAAAUGCUCAAGAACUCAA